RNAcentral lists this non-coding RNA (31 nucleotides) under Rattus norvegicus (Norway rat). The record is from RNAcentral. Lineage: Eukaryota; Metazoa; Chordata; Mammalia; Rodentia; Muridae.
UCCAGGUCUUUGAUUUGGUGUUGGUUCGUGU